UUCUCCCCAAAUGCCAUUUUGAUUUUUCCUUCUUCUGUAGCUGAUAAAGAGCUCGUUGUUGCUUCAUAUGGUUAGUUAAAAUUAUGUUUUGAUCAUUUGUAGAUCCAUUUAAACAGGUUUCUUUGCUAAUCGAUUCGAGUGAUGUAGGAAUUUUUUUUUCGAAUUUGGUUGAUUAAGAAGUUUUGGUUUAGUUUUGAUUUUUUUUAGCAAAAAAGUGUUGAAUGGUGGGAUAAUCAUUAUUUGAAGAGUUAUUUUGGAAUUUUGAUUCGAACAAUGACUUGUUUCUGUCCGUAGACCCGUGGUCUAUGAAAUUGACCCGUGGUCUACAAAAUUAGAAUACCCUAGACUGAAAUCAAUUUUUAGACGUAUGGAAUUCAUUUGAAAUAUGGUUGCUGAAAUAGUGGAAAUUGAAAGAUUAAUAGCUAAUUAGUUUGAUAAGGUGCACUAGUUUAAUUUUUAGCAAUUGUUGUGUUUUGAUACUGCAUGUUGGAUUUUGGUUCCGUUAUUGAUGUGUGUAGUGAACUUUUUGAUGGUGGAAGAGUUAUUUUGGCAUUUUGAUUCGAAUAGUGACCUUUUUCUGUUCGUAGACCCGUGAUCUAUGAAAUGAGAAUGUCCUAGAUUGAAAUCAAUUUUUAGAUGUAUGAAAUUCUUUUAAAAUAUGAUGGCUGAAAUAGUAAAAAUUAAAAGAUUAAUAGCUAAUUAGUUUGAUAAGGUGCACUAGUUUAAUUUUGAUACUGCAUGUUGUAUUUUGGUGGGGUAUUUCUUUGUUUUUUGAAGGAUUUUCAUUUGAACAUUGACUUAUUUUUGUUGUUAGACUUGUGGUCUAUGAACUAAAAAUCAAAGAUUUGUUCUGCAGGUGUAGAUUGUGUUGAAAAUGAGUAAAAAAAUCAUCCAUCCUGAGGAAGAAAAGGAAGGUGAGAAAAAGCAGUUGUUGAAGGUGAAGAAAAAAAUGAAGCUCAAGAAGAAAAAUAAGUUGAGAAAGAAGCAGCAGCAGCAGCUGCAGAUGCUGAAAAAGGAGGAAAUGAAGCUGAAGAUGUAAUGGAAGAAAUGACAGACAAAGAAGGAGGAGAACACAAAGAAGUU
RNAcentral lists this long non-coding RNA (1083 nucleotides) under Capsicum annuum. Its description in RNAcentral is "long non-coding RNA (CANN_LNC016574)". Lineage: Eukaryota; Viridiplantae; Streptophyta; Magnoliopsida; Solanales; Solanaceae. The record is from RNAcentral.